GGAAUCUUCCACAAUGGGCGCAAGCCCUGAUGGAGCAACACCGCGUGAGUGAAGAAGGGUUUCGGCUCGUAAAGCUCUGUUGUUAAAGAAGAACACGUAUGAGAGUAACUGUUCAUACGUUGACGGUAUUUAACCAGAAAGUCACGGCUAACUACGUGCCAG
This 162-nucleotide ribosomal RNA is filed under the name uncultured bacterium. RNAcentral describes it as "partial 16S rRNA". It matches the Rfam family "Bacterial small subunit ribosomal RNA", at positions 358 to 511 of the family's 1533-position model. The record is from RNAcentral.